CCCCGCGUCGCACGGAUUCGUCCCUCCCCCCACCCUACGCACCGCCUAGCGACUAGGUUUCGAACACACGGGAGAGGGGCACCGGUCUUCCGAACGGAAACGGCCAAGGCGCAGCGUGGCCGAAGACGCGCACGACCAAAAAAAAGCCAAGUCCCAGCGUGUGGAAAGACACCGAAGCUGCUACGUAUCCUUGGGUUGGUGAAGGGCACGAUGUAUGCGACGGGGCGGCAUGGCUGUUCGGCCUUGCGUUAGGGCCGAAAACGAGGGGUUCGCCCAUGGCGCACGGGCCGAAAACCGAGGUUCGGGCAUGGCCCCGGAAAUAAGCUAAGUCCAAGCGUGUGGAAAGACACCGAAGGUAAUAUGUAUGUCUUGGGUGAAGGGCAUGGCGGAACGGAGGGAAAACGGCACGGAGGCGCAAGGCGACGGGCGGCAUGGCUGUUCGGCCUUGCGUCUGGGCCGAAAAUGAGGGGUUCGCCCAUGGCGCACGCGCCGAAAACUGAGGCCCGGGCACGACCCCGAAAAAAAGCUAAGUCCAAGCGUGUGGAAUGGAAAGACAACAAGCUAAGGUGUAUGUCAGGCUUGAGUGAAGGGCAAGGUGGAACGGAGGGAAAACGGGAGGAGGCGCGCGGCGACGGGCGGCAGGGCUGUUCGGCCUUGCGUCUGGGCUGAAAACGAGGUGUUCGCCAUGGCGCACGGGCCGAAAACGGAGGCUCGGGCACGAACUCGAAAAUAAGCUAAGUCGAAGCAUGUGGAAAGACACCGAACAUAAAGUCUAUGUCUUUGGUGAAGGGCACAGUGGAACGGAGGGAAAACGACACGGAGGCACGCGACGAACGGAGGCUCGGGCACGGAGGCGCGCGGCGACGGGCGGCAUGGCUGUUCGGCCUUGCGUUUGGGCUGAAAACGAGGCGUUCGCCAUGGCGCGCGGGCCGAAAACAACGGUUCGGCCACGGCCUCGGAAAUAAGCUAAGUCCAAGCGUGUAGAAAGACACCGAAGCUAAUGUGUAAGUCUUGGGUGAAGGGCACGGUGGAACGGAGGGAAAACGACACGGAGGCACGCGACGACGGGCGGCAGGGCCGUUCGGCCUUGCGUCUGGGCUGAAAACGAGGGGUUCGCCAUGGCGCACGGGCCGAAAACGGAGGCUCGGGCACGAACUCGAAAAUAAGCUAAGUCCAAGCGUGUGGAAAGACACCGAACCUAAAGUGCAUGUCUUGAUUGAAGCGCAAGGUGGAACGGAGGGAAAACGGGAGGAGGCGCGCGGCGACGAGCGGCAGGGCCGUUCGGCCUUGCGCCUGGGCUGAAAACAAGGGGUUCGCCAUGGCGCGCGGGCCGAAAACCGAGGUUCGGGCAUGGCCCCGGAAAUAAGCUAAGUCCAAGCGUGUGGAAAGACACCGAAGGUAAUAUGUAUGUCUUGGGUGAAGGGCAUGGCGGAACGGAGGGAAAACGGCACGGAGGCGCAAGGCGACGGGCGGCAUGGCUGUUCGGCCUUGCGUCUGGGCCGAAAACGAGGGGUUCGCCAUGGCGCGCGGGCCGAAAACAACGGUUCGGCCACGGCCGCGAAAACGGGCUAAGUCCCAGCGUGUGGAAAGACACCGAACCUAGAGCGCAUGUCUUGAGUGAAGGUAAAGGUGGAACGGAGGGAAAACGGGAGGAGGCGCGCGGCGACGGGCGGCAGGGCUGUUCGGCCUUGCGUAUGGGCUGAAAACGAGGAGUUCGCCAUGGCGCGCGGGCCGAAAAAAACGGUUCGGCCACGGCCGCGAAAACGGGCUAAGUCCAAGCGCGUGGAAAGACACCGAGGCUGCUACGUAGGUCUCGGUUGAAGGGCACGGUGGAACGGAGGGAAAACGGGAGGAGACGCAAGGCAACGGGCGGCAGGGCUGUUCGGCCUUGCGUUUCGGGUGAAAACGAGGGGUUCGCCAUGGCGAACGGG
Molecule: long non-coding RNA, 1931 nt
Filed under: Zea mays
Lineage: Eukaryota; Viridiplantae; Streptophyta; Magnoliopsida; Poales; Poaceae
Description: long non-coding RNA (ZMAY_LNC005741)
Source: RNAcentral